GCCAGGGUGUAGCUCAGUGGUAGAGUGCUUGCCUAGCAUGUGUGAGGCACUGGGUUCAAUCCUCAGCACUGCA
Molecule: transfer RNA, 73 nt
Filed under: Marmota monax (woodchuck)
Lineage: Eukaryota; Metazoa; Chordata; Mammalia; Rodentia; Sciuridae
Description: tRNA.Ala
Rfam family: tRNA (bases 7-69)
About the family: Transfer RNA (tRNA) molecules are approximately 80 nucleotides in length. Their secondary structure includes four short double-helical elements and three loops (D, anti-codon, and T loops). Further hydrogen bonds mediate the characteristic L-shaped molecular structure. tRNAs have two regions of fundamental functional importance: the anti-codon, which is responsible for specific mRNA codon recognition, and the 3' end, to which the tRNAs corresponding amino acid is attached (by aminoacyl-tRNA synthetases). tRNAs cope with the degeneracy of the genetic code in two manners: having more than one tRNA (with a specific anti-codon) for a particular amino acid; and 'wobble' base-pairing, i.e. permitting non-standard base-pairing at the 3rd anti-codon position.
Source: RNAcentral